This 1087-nucleotide long non-coding RNA is filed under the name Marmota monax (woodchuck). The record is from RNAcentral. Lineage: Eukaryota; Metazoa; Chordata; Mammalia; Rodentia; Sciuridae.
AAAACAUUCAGAAAAAAAAAUGGUGUAGAAGUGCAUGAAUAUUUAACCACAUAAUCCUCAAAGCCAUCUCAAAUAUCCUAAGGAGAACACUUGCUUCAGUUGUCUCAAGAUCGAAGUUUCAAGAUGAGUGGGAUUUUGUGCAGGAUGGAAGAGCAUUGUGAAUGAAACUCUUUGUUAGCCCUUCUCCCCACCGCUUGCAGCCAACUGCCUGCCAUUUUUGCUGGGGAAAGAAUGCUUGGCUAAACUUGUUCUUGUCCAAGCUUAUCAAUUGCUGCUUGUCUACUGUGCUAUAACAGAAGCCCAAACAAUCAUCAUUAAGGGAGGUGCAUUCCAUCCUAAAUGCCUUCAGAUUGGCAUUUCUGUUCGUGGCAGAUGGUGUUUUCUAAAGAUGGCUACCACGAUCUCUCUCAUUCCUGUGCACUCUGUUAUGAUAGGAUGUUGCCACUCCUCUACUAAAAAAUUAGUCUUUCCACAGCUUUGACUGUGGUCAGACACUGUGAUUUCUUUGACCAAUAGAAUAGACCUGAAGGGAGACUGUAUCAAAUGGGUGUAAACCUUACUGAUCCCAUAGCUCCCAAUUCUGCUCUUUGAAACCAGCACCAUGUAAGGGCGCAACUACCCUGAGACCAUUAUGUUGUGAGGGAGCUCGGACUCAGCUUGUGGAGAAGGUGUGCAGCAGAGAGCAACUAUGGCCAUUCCUCUGUUGUCCUCAUGAUCCCGGACCAGUCACCAGAAACAUAAAUGAGGGAGACAUUCUAGCCCCAGCAGAACAGAAGAACUAAGGACCCCAAUUGAUGACCCCAACAUAGAGCUGUUCCAAACAUCUCCAAACAUACUCAAUUGAAGCUUCUAUUUUUGUAGCAAAGGUGAGACAUUCCCACUGUGCCCUGCCAGGAUGUCUGACUUAACAGAAUCAUGAGAAUAUAAAAUUGUGGCAAUUUUACAUCACCAAAUUUGGGAUGAUUGGUUACAUAGAAAUAGACCCUCAGAAUACUAUUGCUCUUGCAAUAUAUGCAUGAUUCAGGUAGAACUAUAAUUCAUAUGACUCUAGACAGGAAAUGAUAGUUCAUUGACAUCUUGAUUGUGG